UGGCGGACGGGUGAGUAACGCGUGGGUAACCUGCCUCAUACAGGGGGAUAACAGUUAGAAAUGACUGCUAAUACCGCAUAAGCGCACGAGGAUGCAUGUUCUUGUGUGAAAAACUCCGGUGGUAUGAGAUGGACCCGCGUCUGAUUAGCUAGUUGGAGGGGUAACGGCCCACCAAGGCGACGAUCGGUAGCCGGCCUGAGAGGGCGGACGGCCACAUUGGGACUGAGACACGGCCCAAACUUAUACGGGAGGCAGCAGUGGGGAAUAUUGCACAAUGGGGGAAACCCUGAUGCAGCGACGCCGCGUGAGUGAAGAAGUAUCUCGGUAUGUAAAGCUCUAUCAGCAGGGAAGAAAAUGACGGUACCUGACUAAGAAGCCCCGGCUAACUACGUGCCAGCAGCCGCGGUAAUACGUAGGGGGCAAGCGUUAUCCGGAUUUACUGGGUGUAAAGGGAGCGUAGACGGCGCUGCAAGUCCGGAGUGAAAGCCCAUGGCUUAACCAUGGUACUGCUCUGGAAACUGUGGAGCUUGAGUGCGGGAGGGGCAGGCGGAAUUCCUAGUGUAGCGGUGAAAUGC
RNAcentral lists this ribosomal RNA (575 nucleotides) under uncultured bacterium. Its description in RNAcentral is "bacterial SSU rRNA". It matches the Rfam family "Bacterial small subunit ribosomal RNA", at positions 96 to 689 of the family's 1533-position model. The record is from RNAcentral.